GAUUGACAAGACUAGAUUUCCCUCGGAAAAUAGAAGCAGCGCAAGGGCCCUCAGGAGGACAGACACGGGAGCCUACAUCAACCAUUGACCAACCUCUUAUAGGUGACAAGUCCUCCAAGAACCAAGUUGGCAAGAAAGUGCACUGGGAGUUUUUGACAGACAGUCCUCAAGAACUUACCCUUCAAGAUAAUGAAGUAGUAAUAUCAUGCGGCAUCAGAUUCUCGCCUUCUGGAGCCAAGCUCAGCGAAACUAUCAAGGUCACAUUGGACCAUAAUGCACAUUUCACCAAUCCAAGACGUGCAGAGAUCGUCUUCUACACCCGCAACAAAGACUCAACAACUUUUGUGAGAAUUCCCGCAUCCACCAACGGUUGUCCACGUUGUGACGUCAGAUCGAAGGACUUGGAUCUAUAUGUAGAUCAUUUCAGUGAUUGGUGGAUUGUGGCCUUAAUCAAACGGUACUUCGUCGGAAAGAGGGUCGAGUGCACGCCAUAUGUACAACCACCUGUCACGAAAGGAUUAACGCACUUAGUGCUACUCUGCAUAUAUGAUGAUCUCGUUGAUGUCAUUAAG
Long non-coding RNA from Strongylocentrotus purpuratus (purple sea urchin), 572 nucleotides. RefSeq lists it as uncharacterized. The transcript is spliced from 3 exons. The record is from RefSeq and is a predicted model, not a curated record. NCBI's taxonomy places the organism in Eukaryota, Metazoa, Echinodermata, Echinoidea, Camarodonta, Strongylocentrotidae.